CAGCAGCCGCCGCGGUAAUACGGAGGGAGCUAGCGUUGUUCGGAAUUACUGGGCGUAAAGCGCACGUAGGCGGUUAUUCAAGUCAGAGGUGAAAGCCCGGGGCUCAACCCCGGAACUGCCUUUGAAACUAGAUGACUGGAAUCUUGGAGAGGUCAGUGGAAUUCCGAGUGUAGAGGUGAAAUUCGUAGAUAUUCGGAAGAACACCAGUGGCGAAGGCGACUGACUGGACAGGUAUUGACGCUGAGGUGCGAAAGCGUGGGGAGCAAACAGGAUUAGAUACCCCUGUAGUCCCUGUCUCUUAUAC
This 304-nucleotide ribosomal RNA is filed under the name uncultured bacterium. RNAcentral describes it as "partial 16S ribosomal RNA". It matches the Rfam family "Bacterial small subunit ribosomal RNA", at positions 506 to 807 of the family's 1533-position model. The record is from RNAcentral.